Molecule: long non-coding RNA, 1549 nt
Organism: Oryctolagus cuniculus (rabbit)
Lineage: Eukaryota; Metazoa; Chordata; Mammalia; Lagomorpha; Leporidae
Source: Ensembl
AUGAACGUGGGACUCUUCACAUCACGUGGUAUAGGACCUAAUUCACCAGGUUCACCUCUCUCCCCGCACCGGAACUCAAACGCUGACCUUCUCCUCCCGCCCUGCCCUAGCUGUGCCUGCGUGCCCUGCUCCUGUGGAAGAAAGCUGCAUCUUUUCCAAGAAGAGUUGCUGUCUUGCUCAGAUGAAAGGCGUGAAGCCAGGCUGAGGGAAGGUUUGAAGGAGGUGUCCACAGGGCUGGGCCGAAUCAGCACGCCGAGGAGUGCAGGCUGAAGCUGGUGUGCAGCCGUAUUCCGUGCCUGCACGGUGUCAUUGAUCUUCUCGGGAAGUGACGUACGAAAGGCUGGACUGGGCCUUCCUCAGGACUGGUGUCCUGUCCGGGUGACCAAGUUUACAGGCACUUCCUGCGUUUUCUUCCUGUUUUACUCUUUUGUGUUGACCUGCUCCUCCCUCCUUCGCCUCCUCCUGUUGGCAUUCUAGUUUGUGAGUGCUGUAAAGGGGCAGAUGAGGGAUUGGUGAUAGUAAUAAGAUGAAAUAGAAAAAACAAACACACAAACAAAAACCCUACAACUUGGGCUUUUGUUCUAGGGAAAAAUGCGAAUCAAUAGCAGUAGUGCCACUUCGAUAAAUCAGCUUUUAUUAUAACAGAUUCAAUCAUGUACAGCUGGUGAACUGAAAGACAAAACCCUAUGCUAAGAGAUCCUGGACAACCUAGGCUUGUUGGAUUUCUUUUCUUUUUUUUUUUAAGAGUUUAUUUAUUAUUUAUUUGAGAGGUAGAGUUACAGACAGUGAGAAGGGGAAAGACAGAGAGAGAGAGAGAAUGAGAGAGAAAGCGGAAGGUCAUCCAUCCACUGUUCACCCCCCAAAUGGUUGCAACGGCUGGAGCUGAGUCGAUCCAAAGCCAGGAUCCAGGACUCCCAAGUGGGAGGCUGAAACAAAUGAUUUAAAAGGGGUCCCUGAGAUUACUGAUGCCAUAGACAGGAGUGUCAAUUGGUAAAGUCAACAACAGGAGUCACUGUGCACCUACUCCUCAUGUAGGAUCUCUAUCCUUAAUGUGCUGUACAUUGAGAUUUAAUGCUAUAACGAGUACUCAAACAAUAUAUUUCACUUUGUGUUUCUAUGGGGGUGCAAACUGUUGAAAUCCUUACUUAAUGAAUACUAAACUGAUCCUCUGUAAAAAAAAAAAAAAAAAAAAAAAAAGAAAGAAAUUAUCAAUUCCCAACUUGACUCUCACUGGGAUUAAACAUGACAAUAGGUCUGCUCUGAUUUCAUCAUCAUUUAAAAAAAAUCAUCUAUUAUUUUUCACUUUAUGUUUCUGUGUGGGAGCAAACUGUUGAAAUCCAUACUUAAUGUAUACUAAGCUGAGAAUCCAUAUAUUAAGAUAAUCGAAAAUGAAUCUUGAUGUGAAUGGAAGGGGAGAGGGAGUGGGAAAGGGGAGGGUUGUGGGUGGGAGGGACGGUAUGGGGGGGAAGCCAUUGUAAUCCAUAAGUCGUACUUUGGAAAAUUAUAUGCAUUAAAUAAAAGUUUAAAAAAAAAAAGGGGUCCCUGGAUU